AGUGAACGCUGGCGGUAGGCCUAACACAUGCAAGUCGAACGGCAGCACAGUAAGAGCUUGCUCUUACGGGUGGCGAGUGGCGGACGGGUGAGGAAUACAUCGGAAUCUACUUUUUCGUGGGGGAUAACGUAGGGAAACUUACGCUAAUACCGCAUACGACCUGCGGGUGAAAGCAGGGGAUCUUCGGACCUUGCGCGAUUGAAUGAGCCGAUGUCGGAUUAGCUAGUUGGCGGGGUAAAGGCCCACCAAGGCGACGAUCCGUAGCUGGUCUGAGAGGAUGAUCAGCCACACUGGAACUGAGACACGGUCCAGACUCCUACGGGAGGCAGCAGUGGGGAAUAUUGGACAAUGGGCGCAAGCCCGAUCCAGCCAUACCGCGUGGGUGAAGAAGGCCUUCGGGUUGUAAAGCCCUUUUGUUGGGAAAGAAAAGCAGCAGGUUAAUACCCCGCUGUUCUGACGGUACCCAAAGAAUAAGCACCGGCUAACUUCGUG
Molecule: ribosomal RNA, 492 nt
Filed under: uncultured bacterium
Lineage: Bacteria
Description: partial 16S ribosomal RNA
Rfam family: Bacterial small subunit ribosomal RNA
Source: RNAcentral